AUUGAACGCUGGCGGCAUGCUUUACACAUGCAAGUCGAACGGUAACAGGCCGCUAGGUGCUGACGAGUGGCGAACGGGGGAGUAAUACAUCUGAACGUGCCCCGUCGUGGGGGAUAACUACUCGGAAGAGUAGCUCAUACCGCACACGAUCUAUGGAUGAAAGAGGGGGGCCGUAAGGCAUCGCGCGAUUUGAGCGGCCGAUGUCAGAUUAGGUAGUUGGUGGGGUAAAGGCGCACCAAGACAACGAUCUGUAGCUGGUCUGAGAGGACGACCAGCCACACUGGAACUGAGACACGGUCCAGACUCCUACGGGAGGCAGCAGUGGGGAAUAUUGGACAAUGGGCGCAAGCCUGAUCCAGCAAUGCCGCGUGUAUGAAGAAGGUCUUCGGAUUGUAAACUGCUUUUGGUUGGGAGGAAACGCAGUAGGUUAAUACCUGGCUCUAAUGACGGUACCGAAAGAAUAAGCACCGGCUAACUACGUG
RNAcentral lists this ribosomal RNA (482 nucleotides) under uncultured bacterium. RNAcentral's name for it is "partial 16S ribosomal RNA". It matches the Rfam family "Bacterial small subunit ribosomal RNA", at positions 30 to 507 of the family's 1533-position model. The record is from RNAcentral.